CCGGCGACCGGCGCACGGGUGAGUAACACGUGUGCAACCUGGCCGUGACAGAUGGAUAACCGGGAGAAAUCCCGCCUAAUACAACAUAAUGCCGGGAGGGGACAUCCCCUGCCGGUCAAAGGGGGCGACCCCGGUCAUGGAUGGGCAUGCGGCGCAUUAGGUAGUUGGUGGGGCAACGGCCCACCAAGCCGACGAUGCGUAGGGGUUCUGAGAGGAAGGUCCCCCACAUUGGAACUGAGACACGGUCCAAACUCCUACGGAAGGCAGCAG
This 270-nucleotide ribosomal RNA is filed under the name uncultured bacterium. Its description in RNAcentral is "partial 16S ribosomal RNA". It matches the Rfam family "Bacterial small subunit ribosomal RNA", at positions 88 to 354 of the family's 1533-position model. The record is from RNAcentral.